GGUGCUAUACAUGCAGUAGAACGCUGAAGAGAGGAGCUUGCUCUUCUUGGAUGAGUUGCGAACGGGUGAGUAACGCGUAGGUAACCUGCCUUGUAGCGGGGGAUAACUAUUGGAAACGAUAGCUAAUACCGCAUAACAAUGGAUGACACAUGUCAUUUAUUUGAAAGGGGCAAUUGCUCCACUACAAGAUGGACCUGCGUUGUAUUAGCUAGUAGGUGAGGUAACGGCUCACCUAGGCGACGAUACAUAGCCGACCUGAGAGGGUGAUCGGCCACACUGGGACUGAGACACGGCCCAGACUCCUACGGGAGGCAGCAGUAGGGAAUCUUCGGCAAUGGGGGCAACCCUGACCGAGCAACGCCGCGUGAGUGAAGAAGGUUUUCGGAUCGUAAAGCUCUGUUGUAAGUCAAGAACGAGUGUGAGAGUGGAAAGUUCACACUGUGACGGUAGCUUACCAGAAAGGGACGGCUAACUACGUGCCAGCAGCCGCGGUAAUACGUAGGUCCCGAGCGUUGUCCGGAUUUAUUGGGCGUAAAGCGAGCGCAGGCGGUUUGAUAAGUCUGAAGUUAAAGGCUGUGGCUCAACCAUAGUUCGCUUUGGAAACUGUCAAACUUGAGUGCAGAAGGGGAGAGUGGAAUUCCAUGUGUAGCGGUGAAAUGCGUAGAUAUAUGGAGGAACACCGGUGGCGAAAGCGGCUCUCUGGUCUGUAACUGACGCUGAGGCUCGAAAGCGUGGGGAGCGAACAGGAUUAGAUACCCUGGUAGUCCACGCCGUAAACGAUGAGUGCUAGUGUUGGAUCCUUUCCGGGAUUCAGUGCCGCAGCUAACGCAUUAAGCACUCCGCCUGGGGAGUACGACCGCAAGGUUGAAACUCAAGGAAUUGACGGGGGCCCGCACAAGCGGUGGAGCAUGUGGUUUAAUUCGGAAGCAACGCGAA
This 936-nucleotide ribosomal RNA is filed under the name Streptococcus salivarius. Its description in RNAcentral is "bacterial SSU rRNA". It matches the Rfam family "Bacterial small subunit ribosomal RNA", at positions 44 to 965 of the family's 1533-position model. The record is from RNAcentral. Lineage: Bacteria; Bacillati; Bacillota; Bacilli; Lactobacillales; Streptococcaceae.